CUCAUGGACCGACAUCCAAGGGGUUGUCAUCGUGAGAUUGUCAUCGUCACCCAGCUUCACAAGAGGUUUGAAGAGGUGGCGUUACAGAUCAACUUUGUGGUGUCCCCUUGGCCCACAGAUUCAUGCCUGCUUCCUGCACGUGCUUGCUGGACAUCUCCCAGAGCUAGCCCUUGUUACCACCUUCAGGGGGCACACAGUAGGAGGUCAGUAACAGUACUCUGGAAGACCCAAUGAGUUGAUGACUGGGGCAGACCAGCGUUUCCUGGAGCAGCGUUUGCCAAUCUUUCCGGGGAUUCCACUGAAGAUAGUGCAUUGCAUCUAAUCAUCAGUCUCCUCUGGGACUGCUGUGAAGUGUAAAAGAAGAAGGAAGACUGAGGAGAAGCCAUUGUACAGCGAUCAGAAACAAAAAAAUCUGGUGGGAUUGUUAAGGAGCAUUUGCAUUCUCAGGAUCAACAAGUUUGGGGGGUUAUCCAGACUCCUAGUGUGGUCCAGCGCCCAGCGUGCACUGGAGAGUAAGAUUUCACAUAAGAGAACAAAAAAAAAUUCAGUCUGAUAACCACAAGUCAGAAGGACUCGCUUUCGCCUCUGAUCACUAAUGCAUAUGGCCACCGGAAGACCUAUACAAAAAAGUACAAUUCAGCUGACUCAGGAGUCAGAGAAUCUCUUUGCCAAAAGAAGCUUCUGAGUCCCUGCAAAAUCCUCAAUGAAAAGAGGAGGAAACUUCCUGAGAGAAGACUUUCCCAGGGUAAAACAAUGGGUAUGUUUUGGCAGAACUGAGAUUAAACCCAGGUCUUUUAGCUACUGGUUCUGUGCUUUGGGUUGUGCAUGAAGCCUUAUAAAUAAUACUUCGUACUUACAUCUCAACUAACAAAACUUUUAAACAUGAAGUACUAUAGAUUUGAGGCUGUCCAAAUUGUCCUGUUUAAUUUUGAUUUAUAUGUAUCUUUUUUCCAAAAUACUUUUAUGUUAUGAAAUACCUUAAGAGAUUUUUCGGAUGUUGGACUUGCACUUGCAGGCUUACCCCUGCAAAAGGGAAAAUUCUCCUUAUAUUGAAAUAAAAUAAAAAUCUACUGAUAUUGGAUAUUUAUGUUAUCUAAAUAUACUAUAUAAUCUAAUAAGUUUGUGUGUAUGUAUACGUGUUUCUAAUAAAUGCCCAUACAGGUCUAGCAAUAAUAUAUCAUGUGCAAAUUAGUGUCUAAAUCAAUGUUGUGUGGCAAGUGCUGGAGAAAAGGAGCCUAUUUUAUUACAUAAUAAAAUGUUUUUAAUUGUUGGAG
Molecule: non-coding RNA, 1274 nt
Organism: Sus scrofa (pig)
Lineage: Eukaryota; Metazoa; Chordata; Mammalia; Artiodactyla; Suidae
Source: RefSeq, a predicted model, not a curated record